AUGAAGUUCUACAAGACAGAGGGUUUAACCCAUUAUUCAUCAGCUAAGCUCCUUAUUACAAGCGAUGUCCUUGAGGGUUGUGUAAUUAUAGGAGAGCCCAUACCCAUCACCAAUCUCUUCACACGCCUUUGGUUCAAUGAAGUUGAUCGUCCCACCUCAAGAGAUCAGCUAAGCUUUAGCACAACGAGGGAUAAAAUAAGAUCAAGAGUUCUUUUUGACAACUAA
RNAcentral lists this ribosomal RNA (225 nucleotides) under Triticum aestivum (bread wheat). RNAcentral's name for it is "partial small subunit ribosomal RNA". The record is from RNAcentral. Lineage: Eukaryota; Viridiplantae; Streptophyta; Magnoliopsida; Poales; Poaceae.